Molecule: transfer RNA, 71 nt
Filed under: Candidatus Levyibacteriota bacterium
Lineage: Bacteria; Candidatus Levyibacteriota
Description: tRNA-Pro
Rfam family: tRNA
About the family: Transfer RNA (tRNA) molecules are approximately 80 nucleotides in length. Their secondary structure includes four short double-helical elements and three loops (D, anti-codon, and T loops).
Source: RNAcentral
CGGGGAUUAGUUUAACGGUAGAAUUCGCGGCUGGGGGCCGUGAGACCGGAGUUCAACUCUCCGAUCCCCGA